AAAUGUAUGUUACAGAAUUUUAGUGGCUUUCUCUAAAGAAAUUUGGCCUUUGUCCCGUGAGGCAGCUAAGUUACUUUAAGAUCAUAUUGAUCCUCUUGAUAUUGAGGAUUGAGUCUUGUUUUUAAGUUUUAUGAGAGCUGGUCUGGAAUAGUCUCUACUCUACAGAUUUUUGUUUGUUCGUUUGUUUUGAGACAGAAUCUCCCUCUGUUGCCCAGACAGGCUGGAGCACAGUGGCGCCAUCUUGGCUCACUGCAACCUCCAACUCGCGGGUUCAAGUGAUUCUCAUGCCUCAGCCUUCUGAGUAGCUGGAACUACAGGCAUGCGCCAGCACACCCAGCUAAGCUUUGUAUUUUUAGUAGAGAUGGGGUUUUGUCAUAUUGGCCAGGUUGGUCUCAAACUCCUGGCCUCAAGUGAUCCACCCAUCUUGGCCUCCCAAAAUGCUGUGAUUACAGGCUUGAGCCACUGUGCUCAGCCAGAUCUACAGAUAAUUUUGCUCUACUACUAAUACAUGACCCUUCUGUUCUUUACUAAAUGCCAAGGGUGUUUAAUGAAGACUCUUCACUCUGGCUGGUCAGAGCUUGAAUGUGUCCUAACCUUGUGUGAGCUCUGAUAAAUUUCCACUUUACAACUCUCUACAUGUUCUUUAUCUAGCUUUGUGGUGUUCACCCUUUUGUGCAUGGCUUAGACUUUGGCAUAAACUCAAGGGGACCCCUAAACAGAUUUCUGAAGCUCCUUUUCUAUAGAGUUCUUCUUAUGUAUAACUUUGCCCUGCUAUUUGCAACUACUGUAGGCUCCAUGAGUGCCAGUUUCUGUUCACCUCAACUAAACAAGACUUCCAUACUCUCCUGGGAUCUGUUAUCCUGCACCAUGGUCCAGAAUGUAUCCUCAGGGAGAAAGUUUAGGAUUCAUAGGGCUUACUAUGCUUAUUUUCCUUUUCUCAAGUUCACAGUUCUGUACCAUUUGUCUGAUGUAUGAAAAAAAUAGUUUCAUAUUUUGUCAUGUUUCCUAGUUAUUUUGGUAGAAGCAUAAGCAUGGGCCCUAUUACUCCAUCAUUGCUCAAAGCGAAAGUCAAGACGUGUAUUGCUUUAAGAGUGUGUAAUUAGGCUGGGUGCGGUGGCUCAUGCCUGUAAUCCCAGCACUUUGGGAGGCUGAGGCAGGUGGAUCACAAGGUCAUGAGUUCGAGACCAGCCACGCAAACAUGCUGAAACCCCGUCUUUACUAAAAAAAUACAAAAAUUAGCCAGGCAUGGUGGCAUGGGCCUGUAAUCCCAGCUACUCAGAAGGCUGAGGCAGGAGAAUGGCUUGAACCCGGGAGGCAGAGGUUGCAGUGAACCGAGAUUGUGCCAUUGCACUCCAGCCUGGUUGACAAGAGCAAGACUUCAUCACAAAAAAAAAAAAAAAAGAAAAAAACCCAAAAACAAGAUAGCCCAUGGAACAGAAUAGAGAGGAAGAGACAGGCCCCCACAUAUACUGUCCUCUGAUUUAUUACUAAAGUCCUACUGCAAUUUAGUGGGAGGAGGAAGAUCUUUUAAAUAAAUGGUAGAGAAAAAAAUGAACUAUAUCCCUACCUUACAUCAUCCGUAUAAAUUAAUUGGGGAUGGAGCAUAGACGUAUGUGUAAAAGGAUAAAGCUUUCAAAACAAACCAUGGGAGAAUAUCUUCAUAACCUUCAGGUAGGCAAAGAUUUCUUUUUCUUUUUCUUUUUUUCUUGAGACGGAGUUUUGCUCUCCGGGCCACCAUGCCCGGCUAGUUUUGUAUUUUUUAGUAGAGACGGGGUUUCUCCAUGUUGGUCAGGCUGGUCUCAAACUCCUGACCUCAGGUGAUCUGCCCACCUUGGCCUCCAAAAGUGCUGGGAUUACAGGCGUGAGCCACCGCGCCUGGCGAGGCAAAGACUUUUUAAACAGGGCAUAAGAAUAACUGAAAGAAAGACUAGUAAUUGACUUCAUUAAAAUAAAAAACUUCUCCUCAACCAGUCACAAACUUAAGACAGUAUAAAGGCAAACCGCAACUGGGGAGAGAAUGUUUGCAAUACAUAUUUUGGAAAAAGAACUCAUAACUGGACUAUAUCAUGAACCGUUUCAGAGCAAUUUUUUAAAAAGACUGACAACACAAGUUUCAAAAAGAUCAAAAGACUUGGAUAGGCAUUUUGCAAAAGAAGAUAUCCAAAUGGCUAAUAAACAUUUCUAAAAGUGUUCAACGUCAUUAUCUAUCAAGUACAGGCAAAUUAAAACUACCAUAAGGUAGCACCUCAUAUCCAUCUAAUUUUAGAAUGACUAAAGUGAAUAGGCUGAGAAAUCUAAGAGUUGGUGAAGAUAUAAAGAAACUAGGAGUCUCAUAUAUUGCUUAUGUGAGUAUAAAUUUCCAUAAACAUUUUAGAAAACUACUAGGCAGCAUCUACUAAAGCUAAGCAAACAUAUAAUGCAUGACUGGGCAACUCAGCUCCUGGGCUGAGUAUAUACCCAAGAGAAAUGAAUGCAUAUGUCCACUAAAAGACAUGUAUAUAGCAUACUCAUAGCAGCAUUAAUAGUAAUAGCCCCGAAUUUGAAGUGAACCAAAUGUUAGUCAACAGUAGAAUGAAUACAUUGUGGUAUAGUUGUAUCUGGAAUACUACACAGCAAUGACAAAUGAUUAACUGGAUGCAAUAACAUGGGUGAACCUCUCAUCUCCAGAUUACUUAUAAUAUCUAAUGCAAGGUAAAUGUUAUAUAAAUAAUUGUUAUAUUGUAUUGUUUAGGUAAUAACACACACACUCUAACACUCGCUCUGUUUUCCCCACAAUCCGCAGCAUGCAGCCUGCUGUGUCCACCUCACAUACGCACUGGACCUUGUCCUCACUGG
Molecule: long non-coding RNA, 2835 nt
Filed under: Homo sapiens (human)
Lineage: Eukaryota; Metazoa; Chordata; Mammalia; Primates; Hominidae
Description: non-protein coding lnc-DLGAP3-2:3
Source: RNAcentral